ACUAUUUUGUCAGAAAAGUGAAAUAAAUUUAGAAUUUAUUAAUAUAUAAUAAAAUUAUAUAAAUAGUA
RNAcentral lists this transfer RNA (68 nucleotides) under Arge similis. RNAcentral describes it as "tRNA-Leu". Lineage: Eukaryota; Metazoa; Arthropoda; Insecta; Hymenoptera; Argidae. The record is from RNAcentral.